RNAcentral lists this transfer RNA (84 nucleotides) under Solirubrobacteraceae bacterium. Its description in RNAcentral is "tRNA-Leu". It matches the Rfam family "tRNA". Rfam says of the family: Transfer RNA (tRNA) molecules are approximately 80 nucleotides in length. Their secondary structure includes four short double-helical elements and three loops (D, anti-codon, and T loops). The record is from RNAcentral. Lineage: Bacteria; Bacillati; Actinomycetota; Thermoleophilia; Solirubrobacterales; Solirubrobacteraceae.
GCGCGCGUGGUGAAAUUGGUAGACACGCCAGGUUUAGGUCCUGGUGCCGGAAACGGUGUGGGGGUUCGAGUCCCUCCGCGCGCA